This 1217-nucleotide long non-coding RNA is filed under the name Bos taurus (domestic cattle). RNAcentral's name for it is "long non-coding RNA NONBTAT000458". The record is from RNAcentral. Lineage: Eukaryota; Metazoa; Chordata; Mammalia; Artiodactyla; Bovidae.
AACAGUAACUGAUUUCCUUUAGAUUGUCCAACUUCUCUUUGUUGUGGAGUACACGUGUUAACCGCAGCCUCACGUGAUAUAACUAUGAAAUAGAGCUCUGUUUUCACCAAAGAACAGACCAAUUAGAAUACUUAUUUUCCAAAGUAUUGUAGUUCUAUUCAGAGGCACAGGAAGUUCACCUUAAUGUUCUCUGUAAUGUACUGUUUUAUGAUGUUUUUUCUUUACAGUUAGCUUUUGUUUUUUAGAGUUCAAUUAAUUUGUAUUGAAUGAAAUGACUUCAGGCAAGUCCUUUUGUAACAGUUUUUCAAAUGCCAUUUAUCCUGGUUUAUCAUGUUGUGUGUGUUUGUAAGUAUGAAUGUACUCUUUCUACUCAUUGACAAAGGAAUAGAAGUAGAAAAUAAUAAUGUUACUUACUAGUAAAAAUGAAAUGCUUAGAUUAGAAGUGUCUAUAAAAUUUGUCAGGCCUGACUGGGUACAAUUUUUUUUUUUAAUUUGCAGUGGUUUAUAUACAUGUUGCCAAUAAUAAGAUUUUGCGACUGGAUUACACAUGACGUUACUUGAACAGUGAAGGACAGAAUCACAAUUGCAGAAGACAUUUUCAUAAUCUGUUUCUACAGAGAUCACCCCUCAACCCUGUAGUGAUCUAAGACAGUGAAGGACAGGUGCUGAACGUUUGUUGGUUAAUGUAAAGAUAUAACUUUUCUGAAUUGUACUUUACUUUCUUCAUAGGACUGUAAAGAUGCUCUAGUCAACUUUCUAUCUUGCACGAUGUAGUAAAUGGUUCAAAUAUGUGUGUCAAAAUAUGUUGAGUUUGGAUUAAAAUGUUGAUCAGAUUUCACAUUCUAAAAUAAAUUCAUUUUAAUUAGGAAAUUACCCAUUGGUAACAUGACAAGGGAUGAAUUAAUCAGCAGAAGUCAACUGUAGAGUGUACAUAAAGUUUGUGUGCUAGCUAACAUUGUGACUUGUAGUUUAUAAACUGAAAUAAUCAGAUAUGUCUCUGGUCACAUUCCUGUUGCUAACAAAAUGAGAUACCCCUGAGAAAUCUGGCAUCUUUAUGUCUAAUUGCAUCGAUGCAAUUAUUACUGGGGAUUGAAAGAGUGCAUUUACCUAUCUUUCUCUCUGAUGGGGAAAAAAUCACACAGGUGUGAAGUUAAAGCUCUAAGGCUUUACUUAGUGGGGACCACAUUUGUCUCCCUGAACUAAGGCAGCAGGUUUCA